UAACAAGGUCUCCGUUGGUGAACCAGCGGAGGGAUCAUUAUAGAGUUUUCUAAACUCCCAACCCAUGUGAACUUACCUUUUGUUGCCUCGGCAGAAGUUAUAGGUCUUCUUAUAGCUGCUGCCGGUGGACCAUUAAACUCUUGUUAUUUUAUGUAAUCUGAGCGUCUUAUUUUAAUAAGUCAAAACUUUCAACAACGGAUCUCUUGGUUCUGGCAUCGAUGAAGAACGCAGCGAAAUGCGAUAAGUAAUGUGAAUUGCAGAAUUCAGUGAAUCAUCGAAUCUUUGAACGCACAUUGCGCCCAUUAGUAUUCUAGUGGGCAUGCCUGUUCGAGCGUCAUUUCAACCCUUAAGCCUAGCUUAGUGUUGGGAAUCUACUUCUUUAUAGUUGUAGUUCCUGAAAUACAACGGCGGAUUUGUAGUAUCCUCUGAGCGUAGUAAUUUUUUUCUCGCUUUUGUUAGGUGCUAUAACUCCCAGCCGCUAAACCCCCAAUUUUUUGUGGUUGACCUCGGAUCAGGUAGGAAUACCCGCUGAACUUAAGCAUAUCAAUAA
Molecule: ribosomal RNA, 550 nt
Filed under: Neopestalotiopsis sp. MMf-0011
Lineage: Eukaryota; Fungi; Ascomycota; Sordariomycetes; Amphisphaeriales; Sporocadaceae
Description: eukaryotic LSU rRNA
Rfam family: 5.8S ribosomal RNA (bases 184-337)
Source: RNAcentral